AGCCUGAACGCUGGCGGCGUGGCUAAGACAUGCAAGUCGUACGGAUGUAGCAAUACAUCAGUGGCGAACGGGUGAGUAAUGAAUCGCUAAUGUGCCCCGGACUCUGGGAUAGCCGGUCGAAAGGCCGGGUAAUACCAGAUGAUAUACCUUCAUCGCAUGAUGAGGGUCUCAAAGGUCCGCCGGUCUGGGAGCAGGCGAUUUCGUAUCAGCUAGUUGGUGAGGUAACGGCUCACCAAGGCGACGACGCGUAGCCGGACUGAGAGGUUGGCCGGCCACAUUGGGACUGAGACACUGCCCAGACUCCUACGGGGGGCUGCAGUAACGAAUCUUCCGCAAUGCACGAAAGUGUGACGGAGCGACGCCGCGUGGAGGACGAAGUUCUUCGGAAUGUAAACUCCUGUCAGAGGAAAGAAAGUUCUGAUCUACCUCAGAGGAAGAGGCGGCUAACUCUGCGCCAGCAGCCGC
Molecule: ribosomal RNA, 465 nt
Filed under: uncultured bacterium
Lineage: Bacteria
Description: SSU rRNA
Rfam family: Bacterial small subunit ribosomal RNA
Source: RNAcentral